CACGUAGUUAGCCGGUGCUUCUUAUCUAGGUACCGUCACAAAAAGCUUCGUCCCUAGCGAAAGGAGUUUACAACCCGAAGGCCGUCAUCCCCCACGCGGCGUCGCUGCAUCAGGCUUGCGCCCAUUGUGCAAUAUUCCCCACUGCUGCCUCCCGUAGGGGUCUGGGCCGUAUCUCAGUCCCAAUGUGGCCGUCCACCCUCUCAGGCCGGCUACCCGUCGCCGCCUUGGUAGGCCAUUACCCCACCAACAAGCUGAUAGGCCGCGAGCUCAUCCUACACCGGAAAAAACUUUCCAACCAUCACACUAAAAAUGGCUCCUAUCCGGUAUUAGACCCAGUUUCCCAGGCUUAUCCCGAAGUGCAGGGCAGAUCACCCACGUGUUACUCACCCGUUCGCCACUCGAGUACCCUGCAAGCAGGGCCUUUCCGUCGACUUGCAUGUGUUAAGCACGCCGCAGCGUUCGUCCUGAGCCAGGACUCAAACUCU
RNAcentral lists this ribosomal RNA (485 nucleotides) under uncultured Corynebacterium sp. RNAcentral describes it as "partial 16S ribosomal RNA". The record is from RNAcentral. Lineage: Bacteria; Bacillati; Actinomycetota; Actinomycetes; Mycobacteriales; Corynebacteriaceae.